Molecule: unclassified non-coding RNA, 287 nt
Filed under: Glomus sp.
Lineage: Eukaryota; Fungi; Glomeromycota; Glomeromycetes; Glomerales; Glomeraceae
Description: partial contains 5.8S ribosomal RNA and internal transcribed spacer 2
Rfam family: 5.8S ribosomal RNA (bases 1-71)
Source: RNAcentral
GUGAAUCAUCAAAUCUUUGAACGCAAAUUGCACUUUCUGGUAUUCCGGAAAGUAUGCCUGUUUGAGGGUCAGUUAAAUAAAAAAUCGGUGUUGUUGUUGCUUUUCGUGGUGACGCGUCGGGAUUGGUUGGUCUUACCUUCGGUUAAGUGAUUUAAAAUUUUGCAUGAUUUUCGAACGUAUUUAAAUUUCUUACGUACGUUUGAGAUAUCGAUUACUUUAUUAGGUUCGGUCAUCCUCAUGAUUCGCACUUUUAUUUUUUCAUUAAUUGAUCUCAAAUAAGGUAAGAA